AUUGAACGCUGGCGGCAGGCCUAACACAUGCAAGUCGAGCGGAUACAGGGAGCUUCUUCCUUGUUUCCGCGCGGGUGGCGGGCGUUAUGCCUAGGACUCUGCCAGGUCCUGGGGGAUAACGUUCCGUAACGGGCGCUAAUACCGCAUACGCCCUGCGUCGCAAAACGGGGGAUCUUUGCAUCCCACCCUCUUCCCUUCGCCUAGGUCGGAUUAGCUAGUUGGUGGGGUAAAGGCCUACCAAGGCGACGAUCCGUAACUGGUCUGAGAGGAUGAUCAGUCACACUGGAACUGAGACACGGUCCAGACUCCUACGGGAGGCAGCAGUGGGGAAUAUUGGACAAUGGGCGAAAGCCUGAUCCAGCCAUGCCGCGUGUGUGAAGAAGGUCUUCGGAUUGUAAAGCACUUUAAGUGGGGAGGAAGGGCAGUAAGUUAAUACCUUGCUGUUUUGACGUUACCAACAGAAUAAGCACCGGCUAACUUCGUG
Molecule: ribosomal RNA, 484 nt
Filed under: uncultured bacterium
Lineage: Bacteria
Description: partial 16S ribosomal RNA
Rfam family: Bacterial small subunit ribosomal RNA
Source: RNAcentral